RNAcentral lists this ribosomal RNA (484 nucleotides) under uncultured bacterium. RNAcentral describes it as "partial 16S ribosomal RNA". It matches the Rfam family "Bacterial small subunit ribosomal RNA", at positions 29 to 507 of the family's 1533-position model. The record is from RNAcentral.
AUUGAACGCUGGCGGCAUGCUUUACACAUGCAAGUCGAACGGCAGCGCGGGCUUCGGCCUGGCGGCGAGCGGCGAACGGGUGAGUAAUACAUCGGAACGUGCCCAGUAGUGGGGGAUAGCUCGGCGAAAGCCGGAUUAAUACCGCAUACGACCUGAGGGUGAAAGCGGGGGAUCUUCGGACCUCGCGCUAUUGGAGCGGCCGAUGGCAGAUUAGCUAGUUGGUGGGGUAAAGGACUACCAAGGCGACGAUCUGUAGCUGGUCUGAGAGGACGACCAGCCACACUGGGACUGAGACACGGCCCAGACUCCUACGGGAGGCAGCAGUGGGGAAUUUUGGACAAUGGGCGAAAGCCUGAUCCAGCAAUGCCGCGUGUGUGAUGAAGGCCUUCGGGUUGUAAAGCACUUUUGGCGGGAACGAAAAGGACUGUGCCAAUACCACGGUUCGAUGACGGUACCCGCAGAAUAAGCACCGGCUAACUACGUG